AGAGUUUGAUCCUGGCUCAGGACGAACGCUGGCGGCGUGCUUAACACAUGCAAGUCGAACGGUGAAGUCCCUUCGGGGGCGGAUCAGUGGCGAACGGGUGAGUAACACGUGGGCAAUCUGCCCCUCACUGUGGGAUAACUCCGGGAAACCGGGGCUAAUACCGCAUAUGAAGCCUGGCGGCAUCGCCGGGUUUGGAAAGUUUUUCGGUGAGGGAUGAGCCCGCGGCCUAUCAGCUUGUUGGUGAGGUAAUGGCUCACCAAGGCGACGACGGGUAGCCGGCCUGAGAGGGCGACCGGCCACACUGGGACUGAGACACGGCCCAGACUCCUACGGGAGGCAGCAGUGGGGAAUAUUGGGCAAUGGGCGAAAGCCUGACCCAGCGACGCC
This 387-nucleotide ribosomal RNA is filed under the name uncultured bacterium. RNAcentral describes it as "bacterial SSU rRNA". It matches the Rfam family "Bacterial small subunit ribosomal RNA", at positions 8 to 398 of the family's 1533-position model. The record is from RNAcentral.